CCAGUAGGCGGCCAACUAAGUCGGAUGUGAAAUCCCCAGGCUUAACUUGGGAACUGCAUCCGAUACUGGAUGGCUUGAAUUCGGGAGAGGGAUGCAGAAUUCCAGGUGUAGCGGUGAAAUGCGUAGAUAUCUGGAGGAAUACCGGUGGCGAAGGCGGCAUCCUGGACCGACAUUGACGCUGAACGGCGAAAGCUAGGGGAGCAAACG
This 207-nucleotide ribosomal RNA is filed under the name uncultured bacterium. RNAcentral's name for it is "partial 16S ribosomal RNA". It matches the Rfam family "Bacterial small subunit ribosomal RNA", at positions 568 to 774 of the family's 1533-position model. The record is from RNAcentral.